AUGUCCUUCGAUACCCACUUUAAUGUGGAAGAUAUGGCAACGUUGAUCCUCAUCUUCUUGUUAUUGAAGUGUCAGGACCUUGGAGAUAAUGAGAGUGGGUCUUUAAUCACUAUCACAAAAGACUUGAGUGUCUUCCUCUUCAUUCACUUGUCAAUGCAUGGCCAUGUGUUCAAGUGCUUCCAUUUCUUCUUUGCUCAUGGAGUUGUAGGUGCCGUCAUAAUUUGCAAUCAUGGUGCGUCUCAUUGGGCAUUGGUACGUCUUGUGGCCACGACAUUGGUAAGUGAAGCAUUGAAUCAAACUUGUAUUGGCGGUAGCCUCCGUUGGAGUAGUUGA
Molecule: ribosomal RNA, 333 nt
Filed under: Triticum aestivum (bread wheat)
Lineage: Eukaryota; Viridiplantae; Streptophyta; Magnoliopsida; Poales; Poaceae
Description: partial small subunit ribosomal RNA
Source: RNAcentral